GAGGACCGAACCGACUAAUGUUGAAAAAUUAGCGGAUGACCUGUGGCUGGGGGUGAAAGGCCAAUCAAACCGGGAGAUAGCUGGUUCUCCCCGAAAGCUAUUUAGGUAGCGCCUCGUGAAUUCAUCUCCGGGGGUAGAGCACUGUUUCGGCUAGGGGGCCAUCCCGGCUUACCAACCCGAUGCAAACUGCGAAUACCGGAGAAUGUUAUCACGGGAGACACACGGCGGGUGCUAACGUCCGUCGUGAAGAGGGAAACAACCCAGACCGCCAGCUAAGGUCCCAAAGUCAUGGUUAAGUGGGAAACGAUGUGGGAAGGCCCAGACAGCCAGGAUGUUGGCUUAGAAGCAGCCAUCAUUUAAAGAAAGCGUAAUAGCUCACUGGUCGAGUCGGCCUGCGCGGAAGAUGUAACGGGGCUAAACCAUGCACCGAAGCUGCGGCAGCGACACUGUGUGUUGUUGGGU
This 462-nucleotide ribosomal RNA is filed under the name Salmonella enterica subsp. enterica serovar Enteritidis. RNAcentral describes it as "partial 23S ribosomal RNA". It matches the Rfam family "Bacterial large subunit ribosomal RNA", at positions 769 to 1229 of the family's 2925-position model. The record is from RNAcentral. Lineage: Bacteria; Pseudomonadati; Pseudomonadota; Gammaproteobacteria; Enterobacterales; Enterobacteriaceae.